This 479-nucleotide ribosomal RNA is filed under the name uncultured bacterium. RNAcentral's name for it is "partial 16S ribosomal RNA". It matches the Rfam family "Bacterial small subunit ribosomal RNA", at positions 28 to 507 of the family's 1533-position model. The record is from RNAcentral.
GAUGAACGCUAGCGGGAGGCCUAACACAUGCAAGCCGAGCGGUAUUUGUUCUUCGGAACAGAGAGAGCGGCGCACGGGUGCGGAACACGUGUGCAACCUGCCUUUAUCUGGGGGAUAGCCUUUCGAAAGGAAGAUUAAUACCCCAUAAUAUAUUGAGUGGCAUCAUUUGAUAUUGAAAACUCCGGUGGAUAGAGAUGGGCACGCGCAAGAUUAGAUAGUUGGUGAGGUAACGGCUCACCAAGUCAAUGAUCUUUAGGGGGCCUGAGAGGGUGAUCCCCCACAUUGGUACUGAGACACGGACCAGACUCCUACGGGAGGCAGCAGUGAGGAAUAUUGGACAAUGGGUUAGCGCCUGAUCCAGCCAUCCCGCGUGAAGGACGACGGCCCUAUGGGUUGUAAACUUCUUUUGGAUAGGGAUAAACCUACUCUCGUGAGAGUAGCUGAAGGUACUAUACGAAUAAGCACCGGCUAACUCCGUG